CAUGCAAGUCGAGGGGCAGCAGGGUGUAGCAAUACAUCGCUGGCGACCGGCAAACGGGUGCGGAACACGUACGCAACCUUCCUUUAAGUGAGGAAUAGCCCGGGGAAACCCGGAUUAAUACCUCGUAAGAUUAUGAUGUGGCAUCACAUUAUAAUUAUAGCUCAGGCGCUUAAAGAUGGGCGUGCGGCUGAUUAGGUAGUUGGCGGGGUAACAGCCCACCAAGCCUACGAUCAGUAACUGGUGUGAGAGCACGACCAGUCACACGGGCACUGAGACACGGGCCCGACUCCUACGGGAGGCAGCAGUAAGGAAUAUUGGUCAAUGGACGCAAGUCUGAACCAGCCAUGCCGCGUGGAGGAUGACGGCCCUCUGGGUUGUAAACUCCUUUUAUCUGGGAAGAAAUGCAGAUUUUCUAAUCUGUUUGACGGUACCAGAGGAAUAAGCACCGGCUAACUCCGUGCCAGCAGCCGCGGUAAUACGGAGGGUGCAAGCGUUAUCCGGAUUCACUGGGUUUAAAGGGUGCGUAGGUGGACAGGUAAGUCAGUGGUGAAAUCUCCAAGCUUAACUUGGAAACUGCCGUUGAUACUAUCUGUCUUGAAUAUCGUGGAGGUAAGCGGAAUAUGUCAUGUAGCGGUGAAAUGCUUAGAUAUGACAUAGAACGCCG
This 664-nucleotide ribosomal RNA is filed under the name uncultured bacterium. Its description in RNAcentral is "bacterial SSU rRNA". It matches the Rfam family "Bacterial small subunit ribosomal RNA", at positions 54 to 711 of the family's 1533-position model. The record is from RNAcentral.